RNAcentral lists this ribosomal RNA (254 nucleotides) under uncultured bacterium. RNAcentral describes it as "partial 16S ribosomal RNA". It matches the Rfam family "Bacterial small subunit ribosomal RNA", at positions 524 to 776 of the family's 1533-position model. The record is from RNAcentral.
UACGGAGGGGGCGAGCGUUGUCCGGAAUCAUUGGGCGUAAAGGGCGCGUAGGCGGCCAGCGCAAGUCAGUUGUGAAAUCUCCGGGCUUAACUCGGAAAGGUCAACUGAUACUGCGCGGCUAGAGUGCAGAAGGGGCAACUGGAAUUCUCGGUGUAGCGGUGAAAUGCGUAGAUAUCGAGAGGAACACCUGCGGCGAAGGCGGGUUGCUGGGCUGACACUGACGCUGAUGCGCGAAAGCCAGGGGAGCGAACGGG